CGCACAUUGCGCCCGCCAGUAUUCUGACGGGCAUGCCUGUUUGAGUGUCAUUAAAUUAUCAACCUUUGCUCCUUGCGAGCUAAGGCUUGGAUGUGAGGGCUUGCUGGCUUCCUUCAGUGGAUGGUCUGCUCCCUUUAAAUGCAUUAGUAGGAUCCUUUGUGGACGGUAUUGAUAGUUUAUCUAUGCCGUUUGACUUUGAAGGAAUCUGCUUAUAACCGUCUUCGGACAAUCUUGACAAUUUGACCUCAAAUCAGGUAGGACUACCCGCUGAACUUAA
RNAcentral lists this unclassified non-coding RNA (277 nucleotides) under Mycenaceae sp. RNAcentral's name for it is "partial contains 5.8S ribosomal RNA, internal transcribed spacer 2, and large subunit ribosomal RNA". Lineage: Eukaryota; Fungi; Basidiomycota; Agaricomycetes; Agaricales; Mycenaceae. The record is from RNAcentral.